CGCCUGUGGAGGCCUCGUUUGUUCAGGGGCUGCCGGCCAGGGCUUCAGGACGUUUCUGCGGCUUUCCCCGCGCGGCCUGGGCUCCCGCGGCUGCUUUUCGGGCCCAUGGGCGCAGCCACUGCGCCAGGCUCAAGGGGGGCGGCCCCGUCAGGGCCCGCCAUCUUGGAAGGCCUUUUUUGCCGGUUCUUCCCGCUGAGGAAGUGUCGCUCAAGACGCUGGCCUAUGAGUUGUGAUUUCUGCCUUUUCCCCUUCCUCCUUGGGCUAAGCCAGACCAGAAAGGGCCCCGUGCGCAACGUGCUUCACAAUCUCUCAGGGAAAGCGGCUAACGUGGCGCUACUCCGCCUCCCCUGUUCCUUACCCUUGGGGCGGCCGCCAUGUUUCCUGAACACAAAAUGGCGACACGUGGUUAGCAUUCGUCGCCAACGAGAAAUUGGGGUCGGCCCGAAAGCUCUAGAAUGCACCCCUCUUCCUCCCCGGGGCCUUCCACCUCCGCGAGUUUUAUGACUUAAAAAAGCCCACAGGCUGGUCUGAAGGUCGGAGGCCUAAUUUUAACGCGUUUUCCUCCCUUUAAUUUGAAACGGGAACGCGAAUGACUGUAAAAUGUGGGCACAAUAUUUAAUCUCUCGCCUUUUUAAAGCUUAAUAGUGGAUAAUAGGGGGGCAGUAUCAAGGGAUAAUUUGGGUCCCCACAGUACCAAAGCAUUUAGAAACCUCUGUUUAAUUUAAGGAAUGAGAUAAGUUACUGCUUUUCUAGACUUCCUAGCAUGGGCUGUUGUGCUGGAGAGAACGAGAGCUACGAAGAGACUACAGUGCCUCUGACUUUUUCAUAGGACAGUUGGCCGGUGAAUCUUAUUAAUAGUUUACCACAAUUAAGUGUUCAUUUUUAGUCUAGAAGGGACAGGCGUUUAUUGUGCAUUGGCCAGUGCCAGCACAUCCGAUGCAAGGCAGUUCACCGUAUUCUAUCUUUAAUUUUUACCAUGGUCCUCUGAGGUAGGUGUUCUUAUCUCUCUCUCUCUCUCUCUCUUUUAAACAGAGGAAGACAAACAUAAAGAUGAAGUGCUUAAUUCAAGGUCACACAAUGUCGGGGAUGGACCUCCAGAUUUCCUUACUGACCUGCAUUAUCUUGUGGAUACCUGAGUGAAUUCCACACCACCCAUUUUAUAGAUGAAACCACUGAGACAUGGAGCAAUUGACUGAGUAGUCACUGCCCCACCCCUGCCUGGAGCCUCACACAUGACUCGCCUCCUCUCAGUGACCACAGGUGAGACGUGGUCUUGUAACACAGUGGUUAAGAAUGUGACUUUGGAGCCAGCCUGCUAGGGGCUGAAUUCUGACUCAGCCAUUUACUAACUGUGUGACCUUAGGUAAGUCAUUUACCUUCUUUGUCCCUCAGUUUCAUCUCGGUUAAGUAGGGAUAAUGAUAGCACCUAUUUUAUAGGGUUAUUGUGAGGAAUAAAUCCAAGUAAAAUGCUUAGAAUAGUAACUGAAACAUAGCACUCAUUAGGAAUGCUUUAAUUUUCAUUUAUUUGAGUAUUAAAGGUUGAAUUUUCAGAGGUAUUUUGGACCUUUGUAUUUUUUCUUUAAAUCACUUAUUCAUGACUUUUGAACUUUUUUUUUUCUUUUAGAGACAGGGUCUUGGUUUGUUGUCUAGGCUGGAAUGCAGUGGUGCAAUCAUAGCUCACUGUAGCCUUGAACUCUUGGGCUCAAGAGAUCCUCCUGCCUCAGCCUCGUGAGUAGCUGGGCCUACAGGCGCCUGCUACCACACCUGGCUAAUUUUUUAUUUUUUGUAGAGAUGGGUUCUUGCAGCCCAGACUGGUCUUGAGCUUUGGCCUGAAGUGCUCCUCCUGCCUUGGCCUCUCAAAGCAUUGGGGUUACAGGUGUGAAGCACUGCACCUUGCCUACACAUUUUUUCCAAUAAUUUUUUUUAUUAAUUUGUAAGAGUUAACAUGUCGACUAUCAUAUAUAACAUAGAAUUGUUCCCAUUUUGUCAUUUCCUUUCAACUUUGUCUAUGUAGCUUUUUUUCUGUGUGCAAAUUUUACAUUUUUAGGUAGUCAGAAAAUCUCUUCCCUUGUAAUUUUUUCUGCUACUAGACCAAUGUUUAGAAAAAAGCGUGCUUCCCCACCUCAAAAUUAUAAAAAUAGUUACUUGUUCUUUUUGAGUACUGUGUGUGUUUAAAUCUUUAAUCUUUAAAUUUAAAUCUUUGAUCCAUCUGGUAUUUAUUUUGAUAUGAAGAGAGUGGUUGGGAUCUGGCUGUAUUUCUUUUUUCUUUUUUUUUCUUUUUUCUUUUUUUGACGAAGUCUCACUGUUGCUCAGGCUGGAGUGCAAUGGCAUGAUCUCGGCUCAUCACAACCUCUGCUUCCUGGGUUCAAGCGAUUCUCCUGCCUCAGCCUCCCGAGUACCUGGGACUACAGGCACUCGCCACCAUGCCCGGCUGAUUUUUGUAUUUUUAAUAGAGAUGGUUUCACUAUGUUGGCCAGGCUGGUCUCGAACUCCUGACCUUGUGAUCUGCCCACCUCAGCCUCGAAAAGUGCUGGGAUUACAGGCGUGAGCCACUGCGCCCAGCCUUGUAUUUUUUUUCAGUUUGGGUAGCUGUCCCUAAUUCAUUUGUUAAAGGAGAAGCAAGAGCAAGAACCUUUAAUCUGUUCUCCUCUUCCCUAAUUUGAAAGUAGCUUGUUAUUUUGAAUAUCACUUUCUCUGAAAUAGCACAUCUCCAUCUCAGAGAAUGGAUUUAAUGUUUGGAUACAGCCAAAAGUCAUUUCAUUACCAAACCAUGGGGUGAAUAUACCAUGUAAAGCAGUUUGGGAUCAGAACUCACAGUCUGAAUUGUAAGUGAUGAGACUGCUGUCUCUCUGCUACAGCUUCUUGGCUGGCUCUGAAGGCUCUUUGAAGGCAGAUCCUAACAAGGGGACUGCUUUGAAGGGCCAUUGUUCAUUUGGAAUGAUAAAGUCUAUGUUGUUCAAAAAACAAAUGCUUGUAGCAGGUAUUUUUUCACUCCAGACUGAGAAUAUUGGUGGGAUAUUGAUAAGGGGUACUGAAUGGUAAUAAACAUGUGCUCUAGCUCUGUGCUAGUCAGCUUAUUUCAGAACUCUAGUUUGAUUCAGUUUCUUGCCUCUGACUCAAAAUGGAGGGAGAGUGAUUUUUACAUAAGAGAACACACCCACAUAUCCUUUUGGCAGCAGCUACCUGCCAGAGAUGUUGAAGAAGAGUAGCCAACCUUUACACAGCAGAUAUUGUGUGCCAGUCAUAGUCCUAAGUAUAAUACCUUACAUGUAUAAACUUCUUAUAAG
Long non-coding RNA from Homo sapiens (human), 3287 nucleotides. Ensembl annotates it as PCBP1 antisense RNA 1. Its record names the gene PCBP1-AS1. The record is from Ensembl. Lineage: Eukaryota; Metazoa; Chordata; Mammalia; Primates; Hominidae.